UACGGAUAGUCUGGUGUACUUAAACUUAGGAUAAAUGAGAAUAUUACCAGAUAGAGUUAUCAGAGCAGAGGCGGUAAAAGCUAUCGAGAGAAAAGAAAACUAGGGUUUGGUAUUUGGGGCAAAUCAAUCGAGUGUUUCAGAGUUUGGGGGUGGCGAUUGGGUGGAGUAUGGAGGCUGGGUCGCUGGUAAUGGAGAGAAGCGGAGGUGGUGGUACAGCGGCGUAGAAGGGAGAGGCCGGUUGGGUGAUUGCAGCCGAUCGCCGGAGUGGCGCGAAGGUUGCAGGCGGCUCUGCCGCGGCUGUGCACCGCAGUGGCGAGACGCGCCGUUCACAGGGUAGAGAGAGAGAGAGGGGGGGCUGAAUGGAGGUGCUGGGCAUUGGCUAUGGCCGGAAUCCGGCGAGGCCUGGCGGCAGUCCCGAGGAGGCUGCCACGCGAGUUUUCCGGGAGAAAAACAAAAACAAAUAUUAAUUUUGUUUUUAUUAUUUUUAUUAUUGUUAUUUUUAAUAAAUGAUAACAAUAAUAUUAAUAAUAUUAAUAAAAUUAAUAUAUACUUUUGAUUGUUAUAUUUCUUUGCAAGGUGUAUUAUUAUUAUACUCUAUGACGUGAUUAUUAGUCAUAAAUUGUUUUUCUCGA
Daucus carota subsp. sativus is the source of this 632-nucleotide long non-coding RNA. RefSeq lists it as uncharacterized. Lineage: Eukaryota; Viridiplantae; Streptophyta; Magnoliopsida; Apiales; Apiaceae. The transcript has 2 exons. The record is from RefSeq and is a predicted model, not a curated record.